AUGGUCACAGCAUGUGUCGUUAUGAACGGGGCAGAGGUAAAGAAGCCCCCUCCGAUGUUAUUUGACAGAACAGGAGUAUGCCCUGUCGUUGCUCUUGCUCCAAUGCACACAUAGAGCUAGAGACUUCUGUGCCAGAAAGAAGAGAACGAGAAAUUGUGAAUUUAAGAAUGUGUUUUGUUAUAGGGUAAUUGAUGACAUCGUAUGGAUGACAUGAUGCCCAUCUAGGAGUGUGUGUGUGUGUGAGAGAGAGAGAGAGAGAGAGAGAGAGAGAGAGAGAGAGAGAGAGAGAGAGAGAGAGAGAGAGAGAGAGAGAGAGAGAGAGAGAAUGUGUAAGACUGAUGAUGUGUAUAAGGCCUCUGCAUGUUUUGGUUUUGUAUUUGUGUAUUUAUGUAAGCUGAUAAACACCUUAAUUUUGUUUGGAAUUAGGCCUAACAUGAUAAAAAGUACUUCACUCUAUUCUACAUCCGCAGCUCCAUGAAUGUCAUGAGACACUCCAGGAGACGGUGGUUGCAAUGCAUUAUCAACACCCCGCAACCCCAACCCUCCAAUGGAACCCAGAACCCUCCGGAGUUCCUCAGGACCUGUCGGCAUGAGUGAGGCGAACACAUCGUGCGUUGGAGGAAGAGUUGCAGUGACGACUUGGACCACAGGCCAGAAGCCUGAAAUAGAUUCUUUGAGAAUCUUAAAAGUCAAACAACUGGGCCUUGCGGGGAAGACUGAUGACGUGAGAAAAAAAGGAAACAUUUGAUGGGCAGACGUGAGCGGCAGUGGUGCUGGUGGCGCAGGAUGUCCUGGAGGAGGACGACCUCGACUACCUCAAAGGAGCUGAUUCUAGCCUUGUGCCUGAUGGGGAAACAAGUGCACAUUUGUUGUGCUCUGUCUGAGAUGGAGAAGUGUGCGCCUUGCUGGCGUACUUCAAUUGAUGCCAGCAAGCCCAGCCAGCGAGUGAC
This is a long non-coding RNA of Engraulis encrasicolus (European anchovy), 950 nucleotides long. RefSeq lists it as uncharacterized. NCBI's taxonomy places the organism in Eukaryota, Metazoa, Chordata, Actinopteri, Clupeiformes, Engraulidae. The record is from RefSeq and is a predicted model, not a curated record. The transcript has 4 exons.